GGAACAACAGUGAAAAGCGCUCGGGAUGUGUUGCAGUGAUGGUCCUGCAGUAGCUCCGUGUGUGAAUGCCGUCCGGGGCCAGAUCACUUUAACAGCAGUCCCACUUCUCUUGACUCGUAGGUCCCCCCAUCUUCAGUACGGGCUCCGAGCAGGCCUGCGGACAGGGGCCCCUGGACAGCGCCCACAGGGGGGCCCCCAGAGCCCGCUGCUCGUGUGCCGCCUCUCUCCACCAGCCUCAGGGGCGGGGCUGUUGUGUGGCUUUUACCAGCUGCGCGGGGCUCCGCGAGGCCCCGCGGACACCGACACCGGCCCACACGCAGAGAGCCCCCACGGCAGGGGACGCCCCUCCCGAAUUCAUGGGCCCGCAGGGAAAAGAGCUGGUCAGGAAAGAGGAAGGCAGCCGUGCAGCUCUGCUCUGUGGUCGUUCGAAGUCGCGCUGAUGGCAAUGUCGCUGACAAACAAAACGCACUGUGAUGGCAGCGGGAAACGGGCCCGGAGCUGUCCGUCAAGCCAGGGGCGGCAGAGCCGGGUCGUCCAGGGGGGGGCAGUGCUCUUCCAGCAAUGGGCUGCUCAGCCCCCCCCCCCCGCGCCCAGCAGCCCCCCUCCCUUCUCUCCCCCUCCUCCUAAUCCCUCCUCCCCCGGGUCUCCAUGGCGACUGCCCAGACAAGCAGGUGAUCCAUUGACAGGGAGCAGAUGGUGUCCCGUGGAGUCGGCACACACAACACAACACAACGGCGAGAGGGAUGGGAGAGGAUGUCGCUCUGGUUAUCUCGCUCCUUCAGCCUGGUGCCCGAGCAGCACCACACAAUGCCAGGGGUGGAAUGCCACUAGUUCUGUGUGAUUAUCUGCAAUAAGUGGGAAACACACUGCCCACAGGUUCAAUGGAGUCCAAAACAAUCCGAGGAGGCCCCUGUGUUUUACUUUUCUCUGGAAUGAAACUGAAAAUGCCUAUUGUGCUGCAUGAGUCCUGGCUUGUCCGUGAAAAAAAAUCAUCUCCGCUCAGAGCAGUCUAUGCGUUUCAGAAGGUGCAUCCAUUUUUACAGAAGAGUAAAAUUCUCCAUUCUGAAAAUCGAGGCAGGCAAGUGUGAAUUUGUCUGUUUGACCUUGUGUUUGAUGUCUCACUUCUCACUCUGCCUCACACUCCAGAGAGCUUUGGCUCAGCCUCCAGUUCCUUCAGAGCAAUUACUUCUGCCUCGGACCAUUUGUGUUUUUGCUUUUAAUUAUUCCGUUAUUUUAGUUAAUUUGCAUUGUCCUGAAAGCCAGGUGGGCACAUUUCAUGUAGCUGUUGUGAGCCAAAGUUUUCGAAGUGUUUUUUUUCCCCUGAAGAGAAUAUGAUCUUUGUAUGAGCAAUUAAAAACUUGGGAUCCCGCAUCAAAAGAUAAUGUUGUCUUUUAAAAACAGUUAAUGACAUUUGUGAUGGUUCUUAUGAUCAGAUUAAAAACAUCUUUAUGCUACGACUAU
RNAcentral lists this long non-coding RNA (1461 nucleotides) under Lepisosteus oculatus (spotted gar). RNAcentral describes it as "lncRNA (ENSLOCG00000022105.1)". The record is from RNAcentral. Lineage: Eukaryota; Metazoa; Chordata; Actinopteri; Semionotiformes; Lepisosteidae.